UGCGUAGGCGGCAAUUUAAGUUUAUUGUGAAAUCCCCGGGCUUAACUUGGGGCUUGCAGUAAAAACUGGAUAGCUAGAGUACAGGAGAGGUAAGUGGAAUUCCUAGUGUAGCGGUGGAAUGCGUAGAUAUUAGGAGGAACACCAGUGGCGAAGGCGACUUACUGGA
Molecule: ribosomal RNA, 166 nt
Filed under: uncultured bacterium
Lineage: Bacteria
Description: partial 16S ribosomal RNA
Rfam family: Bacterial small subunit ribosomal RNA
Source: RNAcentral